GUUAUUAGAGAGAGUACACACACACACAGAUAUAUAUAUAUAUAAAUAUAUAUAUAUAUAUGCACACAGCAGACUAUGCAUACAUCCUUGGAAGCCAUGCUCAAGAAUGAAAAUAACAUAUAAAAUCCUCAAGUCUUCAUAUACCAUAAGUUAUGACUUCUGAUUAUUUAAAACUGUGAGAAGAUAACUGGAUAAAGGCAUAAAAUGUGCAAGCCAGGAUGGUCAGCUGUAUGAGCAAAAUCAGUCAGAUGGAACAGAAACCUGGAGUUUAAAAUGUGACCCAUGGUCCACACCUAAUCAAAAAAUAAAAUACAAAAAAAAUUGCCUUUGAUAAUGCUCUGUUUUACAGAGAAGUAUGUGCCAAGGACUUAUUCAGACCCAGUGAAGUUGUUGAAAAGACUCACUGCUGUUAACAGACUUUGAACCAGGCCAAAAGACUUUCUAGAAUAUUUCACGAGUAACGAAGCUAAAAAUGAGUAGCUGGAAAAGCUAAGGGCGACAGGGACACUUUAAAAUGUGGUGGUAGAAAACCAAACAUGCAAGCGAGCAAACCGAGAAAGACAGUGACCAUCUGCCACACGGAGCAGGGACGCAGACGUCGAUCCACUUCUUGUACCAAAGCAGGCCGGGAAGAUCUCGGGGCAGGAUCCUGCGGGCGGGAGGAAGGCUGCCCUUCACUUCCUCUGUCACCUCUCAGUGUGUCCUUCUUGCUUCAGCCUGGCAAUAGAACUUCAACCUGGAAGUCCUCAUGUGCAAACUUGAAAACAGUUCCUUCCUCUAAAAAAAAAAAAAAAAAAAGAAGAAACCAUAAAAAUUAAGGACACCGUAAAAGGUCACCAUAAAAAAUAAGUAUAAAAAGUAGAAAGAAUUAGGAAAAAUAAAGGAAUGGAUACUUUUCUUUGUCACCACGUUCAGUACCUUCCUGCACAGAUAAUGAAAAAUGGGUGCCUGCCACAGACAGGUCACAGCCUGGCUUUCUGAAGAGACAAAACAGAUGACGGAAGGAGACAAAACAGAUGAUGAAAAGAGACAAAUUGUGGAAAAUCAUUGUCUCUGCCAGCUAGUUUAAAGAAGAACAAGUUUGAUGCAGGAGUUUACACUCUGGAGGAUCUAUCUAUCCCAUCAGUAACUGUCUGUGAUUCAUGGGUGAGACUGCCAGAAGUGUCAUCCACAGACUCAGCACACUGUAAUGCAUGGGAACGAUGAAAGACCUAUGAACACCAGAUCUUCCUGUCCUUCAAAUGACCAUGGUGUCAGCAAGGAACCAGGUACAGAAGAAGUUUCUGCAGAUGUGCUCACAGUCUGAGAUAUUCCACAGGACCUUUUGAUUGAGUAGACUGCUUCUGAGAAUAGCUUUUACUCAUAAUGUAGAAAGCAUCGGAAAGAGGUACUAAGACAAUGAUCUCUUAAUUAUUUAUUCAAAGCCUAACAGUGUAGAAGAAACAUGCUUCUCACUCUGUGUUUCAACCAAUCCAAAGCAUGCAAGGCUAUACCUGUCUGGUAAUUGUAAAAUUUUCACACAGAGUAAUACAACAUUUUAUUGAAUUUGUCUGAAACUGUGUCUUAAAUUCCCACUAACUUUGAACAGGAAAAUAAAGGGUUCCUUGGAAGAAAAGUUUUCAAUAAUGAGGAAUUCAAACAACAGAUUUACUGAAGGUUCUGUGGUAUGAAUAUGUAUAUAUGUAUGUAUGUAUGUAUGUAUAAGGAUUUUGUGUUUCCUCUGCAUUAGUCUUUUCUUGUAGCAAGCUAUGAAAGUGAGAAAUAGUAGAAGGGAAAUUAACAUGUUCGCUUCCUUCUCCAAAUGGAGAAAUUCUUCAUGCAUUUUGUGAGAUGAGACAAGUGCACAAACAGCUGUGGACCAGUCAGCACUGCACCCAUUCAACAGAGAACUCCAGACACAGGCAGUCUGGAAAGCAGAUCUUAGCAGUGCACAGCAGCAGCACAUGGGCAACAGGCACAAGUCAUAAUGAGGAAAACUGAAAUGAGAUACCAGGAAGCAGUGGCCUUUUGAAUUAAUUUCCUUCCUAAAAUGUUCUAUGACUUUUUAUGAGUCUACAGAGACUCAAGUUGCUGGAAAGGGAAAGCCGUGCCCCCACACUUACA
Molecule: long non-coding RNA, 2103 nt
Organism: Myiozetetes cayanensis
Lineage: Eukaryota; Metazoa; Chordata; Aves; Passeriformes; Tyrannidae
Exons: 6
Source: RefSeq, a predicted model, not a curated record